This 75-nucleotide transfer RNA is filed under the name Patescibacteria group bacterium. RNAcentral describes it as "tRNA-Ala". It matches the Rfam family "tRNA". Rfam says of the family: Transfer RNA (tRNA) molecules are approximately 80 nucleotides in length. Their secondary structure includes four short double-helical elements and three loops (D, anti-codon, and T loops). The record is from RNAcentral.
GGGGCAGUAGUUCAGUGGGAGAACGCCUGAUUUGCACUCAGGAGGUCACGGGUUCAAAUCCCGUCUGCUCCACCA